This 468-nucleotide ribosomal RNA is filed under the name uncultured bacterium. RNAcentral's name for it is "partial 16S ribosomal RNA". It matches the Rfam family "Bacterial small subunit ribosomal RNA", at positions 28 to 507 of the family's 1533-position model. The record is from RNAcentral.
GACGAACGCUGGCGGCGUGCUUAACACAUGCAAGUCGAACGGAAAGGCCCUGCUUUUGUGGGGUGCUCGAGUCGCGAACGGGUGAGUAACACGUGAGUAACCUGCCCCUGACUUUGGGAUAACUUCAGGAAACUGGGGCUACUACAGGAUAGGAGCUCCUGCUGCAUGGUGGGGGUUGGAAAGUACCGGCGGAUGGGGAUGGACUGGCGGCUUAUCAGCUUGUUGGUGGGGUAGUGGCUUACCAAGGCUUUGGCGGAUAGCCGGCCUGAGAGGUGGACCGGGCACAUUGGUCCUGGGAUACGGCCCAGAGUCCUACGGGAGGCAGCAGUGGGAAGUAGUGCACAACGAGCGGAAGCCUGUGGCAGCGACCCCGCGUGCGGGAAGACGUCUUUCGUGUUGGAAAGCGCUGUCGCCUGUGGCGAAGCGUGAGUGACGGUAUUGGCUAAAGAAGCACCGGCUAACUACGUG